UACGGGGGGAGCAAGCGUUGUUCGGAUUUACUGGGCGUAAAGGGCGCGUAGGCGGCCACCGCAAGUCGACUGUGAAAUCUCCGGGCUUAACCCGGAAAGGUCAGCCGAUAUUGCGGGGCUAGAGUGCAGAAGGGGCAACUGGAAUUCUCGGUGUAGCGGUGAAAUGCGUAGAUAUCGAGAGGAACACCUGCGGCGAAGGCGGGUUGCUGGGCCGACACUGACGCUGAGGCGCGAAAGCCAGGGGAGCGAACGGG
RNAcentral lists this ribosomal RNA (254 nucleotides) under uncultured bacterium. RNAcentral describes it as "partial 16S ribosomal RNA". It matches the Rfam family "Bacterial small subunit ribosomal RNA", at positions 524 to 776 of the family's 1533-position model. The record is from RNAcentral.